ACCUGGCUGGCUCAGUCAGUGGAGCAUGCAACUCUUGAUCUCAGGGUUGUGGGUUCAAGACCCACACUGGGUA
Molecule: transfer RNA, 73 nt
Filed under: Ailuropoda melanoleuca (giant panda)
Lineage: Eukaryota; Metazoa; Chordata; Mammalia; Carnivora; Ursidae
Rfam family: tRNA
About the family: Transfer RNA (tRNA) molecules are approximately 80 nucleotides in length. Their secondary structure includes four short double-helical elements and three loops (D, anti-codon, and T loops). Further hydrogen bonds mediate the characteristic L-shaped molecular structure. tRNAs have two regions of fundamental functional importance: the anti-codon, which is responsible for specific mRNA codon recognition, and the 3' end, to which the tRNAs corresponding amino acid is attached (by aminoacyl-tRNA synthetases). tRNAs cope with the degeneracy of the genetic code in two manners: having more than one tRNA (with a specific anti-codon) for a particular amino acid; and 'wobble' base-pairing, i.e. permitting non-standard base-pairing at the 3rd anti-codon position.
Source: Rfam by way of RNAcentral